CACUAUCGUUAACUGAAUACAUAGGUUAACGAGGCGAACCGGGGGAACUGAAACAUCUAAGUACCCCGAGGAAAAGAAAUCAACCGAGAUUCCCCCAGUAGCGGCGAGCGAACGGGGAGCAGCCCAGAGUCUGAAUCAGCUUGUGUGUUAGUGGAACGGUCUGGAAAGUCCGACGGUACAGGGUGAUAGUCCCGUACACCAAAAUGCACAGGCUGUGAACUCGAAGAGUAGGGCGGGACACGUGGUAUCCUGUCUGAAUAUGGGGGGACCAUCCUCCAAGGCUAAAUACUCCUGACUGACCGAUAGUGAACCAGUACCGUGAGGGAAAGGCGAAAAGAACCCCGGCGAGGGGAGUGAAAAAGAACCUGAAACCGUGUACGUACAAGCAGUGGGAGCACCUUCGGGUGUGACUGCGUACCUUUUGUAUAAUGGGUCAGCGACUUAUAUUCUGUAGCAAGGUUAACCGUAUAGGGGAGCCGCAGGGAAACCGAGUCUUAACUGGGCGUUAAGUUGCAGGGUAUAGACCCGAAACCCGGUGAUCUAGCCAUGGGCAGGUUGAAGGUUGGGUAACACUAACUGGAGGACCGAACCGACUAAUGUUGAAAAAUUAGCGGAUGACUUGUGGCUGGGGGUGAAAGGCCAAUCAAACCGGGAGAUAGCUGGUUCUCCCCGAAAGCUAUUUAGGUAGCGCCUCGUGAAUUCAUCUUCGGGGGUAGAGCACUGUUUCGGCUAGGGGGUCAUCCCGACUUACCAACCCGAUGCAAACUACGAAUACCGAAGAAUGUUAUCACGGGAGACACACGGCGGGUGCUAACGUCCGUCGUGAAGAGGGAAACAACCCAGACCGCCAGCUAAGGUCCCAAAGUCAUGGUUAAGUGGGAAACGAUGUGGGAAGGCACAGACAGCCAGGAUGUUGGCUUAGAAGCAGCCAUCAUUUAAAGAAAGCGUAAUAGCUCACUGGUCGAGUCGGCCUGCGCGGAAGAUGUAACGGGGCUAAACCAUGCACCGAAGCUGCGGCAGCGACACUAUGUGUUGUUGGGUAGGGGAGCGUUCUGUAAGCCUGCGAAGGUGACCUGUGAGGGUUGCUGGAGGUAUCAGAAGUGCGAAUGCUGACAUAAGUAACGAUAAAGCGGGUGAAAAGCCCGCUCGCCGGAAGACCAAGGGUUCCUGUCCAACGUUAAUCGGGGCAGGGUGAGUCGACCCCUAAGGCGAGGCCGAAAGGCGUAGUCGAUGGGAAACAGGUUAAUAUUCCUGUACUUGGUGUUACUGCGAAGGGGGGACGGAGAAGGCUAUGUUAGCCGGGCGACGGUUGUCCCGGUUUAAGCAUGUAGGCUGGUUGUCCAGGCAAAUCCGGAUAAUCAAGGCUGAGGUGUGAUGACGAGGUACUACGGUGCUGAAGUAACAAAUGCCCUGCUUCCAGGAAAAGCCUCUAAGCAUCAGGUAACAUCAAAUCGUACCCCAAACCGACACAGGUGGUCAGGUAGAGAAUACCAAGGCGCUUGAGAGAACUCGGGUGAAGGAACUAGGCAAAAUGGUGCCGUAACUUCGGGAGAAGGCACGCUGGUGUGUAGGUGAAGUCCCUGCGGAUGGAGCUGAGACCAGUCGAAGAUACCAGCUGGCUGCAACUGUUUAUUAAAAACACAGCACUGUGCAAACACGAAAGUGGACGUAUACGGUGUGACGCCUGCCCGGUGCCGGAAGGUUAAUUGAUGGGGUUAUCCGUAAGGAGAAGCUCUUGAUCGAAGCCCCGGUAAACGGCGGCCGUAACUAUAACGGUCCUAAGGUAGCGAAAUUCCUUGUCGGGUAAGUUCCGACCUGCACGAAUGGCGUAAUGAUGGCCAGGCUGUCUCCACCCGAGACUCAGUGAAAUUGAACUCGCUGUGAAGAUGCAGUGUACCCGCGGCAAGACGGAAAGACCCCGUGAACCUUUACUAUAGCUUGACACUGAACAUUGAGCCUUGAUGUGUAGGAUAGGUGGGAGGCUUUGAAGCGUGGACGCCAGUCUGCGUGGAGCCAACCUUGAAAUACCACCCUUUAAUGUUUGAUGUUCUAACGUUGGCCCCUGACCGGGGUUGCGGACAGUGUCUGGUGGGUAGUUUGACUGGGGCGGUCUCCUCCCAAAGCGUAACGGAGGAGCACGAAGGUUAGCUAAUCCUGGUCGGACAUCAGGAGGUUAGUGCAAUGGCAUAAGCUAGCUUGACUGCGAGCGUGACGGCGCGAGCAGGUGCGAAAGCAGGUCAUAGUGAUCCGGUGGUUCUGAAUGGAAGGGCCAUCGCUCAACGGAUAAAAGGUACUCCGGGGAUAACAGGCUGAUACCGCCCAAGAGUUCAUAUCGACGGCGGUGUUUGGCACCUCGAUGUCGGCUCAUCACAUCCUGGGGCUGAAGUAGGUCCCAAGGGUAUGGCUGUUCGCCAUUUAAAGUGGUACGCGAGCUGGGUUUAGAACGUCGUGAGACAGUUCGGUCCCUAUCUGCCGUGGGCGCUGGAGAAUUGAGGGGGGCUGCUCCUAGUACGAGAGGACCGGAGUGGACGCAUCACUGGUGUUCGGGUUGUCAUGCCAAUGGCACUGCCCGGUAGCUAAAUGCGGAAGAGAUAAGUGCUGAAAGCAUCUAAGCACGAAACUUGCCCCGAGAUGAGUUCUCCCUGAGACUUUAAGUCUCCUGAAGGAACGUUGAAGACGACGACGUUGAUAGGCCGGGUGUGUAAGCGCAGCGAUGCGUUGAGCUAACCGGUACUAAUGAACCGUGAGGCUUAACCUUACAACGCCGAAG
RNAcentral lists this ribosomal RNA (2770 nucleotides) under Klebsiella pneumoniae. Its description in RNAcentral is "bacterial LSU rRNA". It matches the Rfam family "Bacterial large subunit ribosomal RNA". The record is from RNAcentral. Lineage: Bacteria; Pseudomonadati; Pseudomonadota; Gammaproteobacteria; Enterobacterales; Enterobacteriaceae.